Molecule: long non-coding RNA, 982 nt
Organism: Cyprinus carpio carpio
Lineage: Eukaryota; Metazoa; Chordata; Actinopteri; Cypriniformes; Cyprinidae
Source: Ensembl
AUGAAUGUUCCACAACAGUUGACUGGCUCUGUGGACUGUGGGAUCUUCAUGCUGAUGUAUGCUCUGCACAUGGUCUUUGAGGCACCCUUUGAUUUUACAGCUUCGGAUUUUCCUGUAAUUCGAAAAUGGUGGUGCCUUAUUCUCAUGGAGAAUUUUGCCACUGAAAGGAAACAUGCUGCCGUUGAUGUGCAGGAGCCACCUAAAGCACAAGAAGACACCGAAAUCGGCGACAUGGAACCACAGAUGGCCAAAGACCUCAGGACCGCAGUUGGAUGGCUGCGGAACAACUGCCACUCCUUCAGAGGUUUUGUGCAAGAGCCGUCAUAUCUGGACCUAGAGAAGGAAGACCAGGAAGAGGCCCUUCUUAAACUUGAUCGGGCGGAAAGAAAAGAUGAUCUGGAACUGGCCAAAGAGCCUUUCAUGUUUCGGUUCCAGUUUCAACAGGACAUGGAAGUUUUUCUUUUCAAAUGUCACGACGAAAGGCACCUCAGAAUAAACUCCAUGUGUAUGGAGUUUUAAUUUAUGUUAUUUAUUUUUCUCUUGAGAAUUAUUGCUGUCAAAUUUGUGCCUGUAUAACUUUUAUAAGAUUUAUUUUCUUUGGUUUGAUUUUGUUUUAUAUAAUUUAUUUAUUUAGUUUGAUUUUGUAAUUUUAUUUAAUUAGAAAACAGCAAGUGUGUGAUUUAUUUAAAACUCAUUUUAUUUAAAUUAAUAUUUUUUUGUGUUUUCAGUCCAUCAUAUUAUUGUGUAUGGUGGUCUAUGUUGGUUGAGUAUUUAAAGUUAUUUUCAAUUGAAUAAAAUGUUCAAUCUCUCAAGCUUUGUUUUCAUUGGAUUAUUUAUUUUUAAUUUUAUGCUUUGUCUAAUGUAUAAUAUUGUUAAUCAAUCUUAAAUAUACAUUUUCAAUUAAAUCGUUUAAAACAAAGUCUUUAUAGUAACGUUGUUUUAAACUUUAAAACGUUCCAAAACACGGAAGUAGCGUAAUUCC